CCCCAGAGGCCUUCAGCAUUGGGGACUGAAGGCUUUAGACUGAUACUUAAAGGGAGAGAAGGCAGAAGGUAUUUAUGUGGAGAGAAGAGGAAGACUUUCUCCUGCUACUUUAGCAUGGAGACAGUAGGCCAAAUUUAUCUUCUCAUUCCCCAUAACUCCUUUUCUUGAGAUAAUGGCUCUGGAUCCCAAACACCUUGCUCAACCAUGAAAGGAAACAAGGCCACCUCUACUAUGAGGCCUCCUAGAGAGCUAGGAUAGUCCUCAUCCAUCCAUCCAUCCAUCCACUUAUCCAUCUAUCCAUCCAUCCAUCCAUCCGUCCAUUCACCCAUCCACCCGUCCACCUAUUCAUGUGAACAUUCUUUAAUCCAAGGAGCAUUUAUUAAGCACUUACUCUAUGCCAUUCUGGGGUACACAAGAGAAUAUAAACUUUCUCUUGGUCUUUAGCUUGCAGUCUAGUUAGGGAGAAGAAAGCAUAAUUGCAUGUCAUAAAGCAAUAUUAAAGACUAAUAGAGCUAUACACAAAAGCGUAGCAGUAACUAAGCAAUCCAUCACUGUGACAUUAAAAGAAUAUUAGAAAAUAAUAUGCAGAUGAAGGAAUGGGGCCAGGUAAGGCAGUUGCCUAUUAUUAUCAUGUCUUUGUAUUGUGUGUGUGUGUCUUUUUUUCUUAGGUCAGUACUAGGCGUUUUCAAGAAUCCAUUUCCUUUAUAUCAUUAGGUUUGAGCGAAACUAUUGUAUUCCACUCUGAUUCCCACAUCAUCUCCCACGUCAUCAGUUGAAAGGUUGGAACCCCCUGCCUGGGAGCUCAGCUCUGGUCCUUAGGUAGAAUGAUACUGCCUCAAUGACAAAGCCCCUUUUCGGCAAAGUCAGCUAUUAAUAUGUGUUCUGUAUUUAGCGUUGACUUUGUAGUUGCACCCUAUAUUCUCUUCAAAAUGCUCAGCGGUACUUGGUUGGGUAUGCUAACCUUUUAAAGUUAGAAUAGCUUUCAAAGGAAUUCACUGCAGCCCUGACUUGAGUAUGGAGAAAGGAGACUUCUCCCGCAGCUUUAGAAGGACUGUGAGAUCUAAGGGAAUAAUCUAAGUUUUUAGGAAGUAAUCUAACUUUUUCUUAGAAAGAAGAAAGCAUCACCAAAUUCACAGAAAUGAUUGGAGCGCAUAUUUGGCAAAGUGCUAUUCUCUGCUCCCCAACAAUGUGGUCUUCUGUUAGU
This 1204-nucleotide long non-coding RNA is filed under the name Papio anubis (olive baboon). Its description in RNAcentral is "lncRNA (ENSPANG00000045915.1)". The record is from RNAcentral. Lineage: Eukaryota; Metazoa; Chordata; Mammalia; Primates; Cercopithecidae.